UUUUUUAUACAAAAAAUGUUGGCCUACUGAGAAGUAUGUACAGUAUAUGCACUGAAUACUUGGUCAGGGCUCCUUUUCUAUGAAUUACUGCUUCAAUGCGGUGUGGCCUGGAGGCAAUCAGCCCGUGGCACUGCUGAGGUGUUGUGGAAGCCCAGGAUGCUACGGUAGAUAGAGGCCUUCAGCUUGUCUGGUGUGCUGGGUCUU
Long non-coding RNA from Bufo bufo (common toad), 204 nucleotides. RefSeq lists it as uncharacterized. The record is from RefSeq and is a predicted model, not a curated record. Lineage: Eukaryota; Metazoa; Chordata; Amphibia; Anura; Bufonidae. The transcript is spliced from 3 exons.